Molecule: ribosomal RNA, 253 nt
Filed under: uncultured bacterium
Lineage: Bacteria
Description: partial 16S ribosomal RNA
Rfam family: Bacterial small subunit ribosomal RNA
Source: RNAcentral
UACGGAGGAUGCAAGCGUUAUCCGGAUUCAUUGGGUUUAAAGGGUGCGCAGGUGGGCUUUUAAGUCAGUGGUGAAAUGCUGCCGCUUAACGGUAGAAUUGCCAUUGAUACUGAGAGUCUUGAGUAUGGUUGAGGUAGGCGGAAUGUGUUGUGUAGCGGUGAAAUGCAUAGAUAUGACACAGAACACCGAUUGCGAAGGCAGCUUACUAAGCCAUUACUGACGCUGAGGCACGAAAGCGUGGGGAGCGAACAGA